UUAUUCAGAAAGAUAAUUACAAUAAUAUAUAGGGUUGGGUAGUCUGAAUCAAAAUGUACAUAUCUAAAACUUAUUUUAUAAUUUAUAAAAAAGGUAAUGAAUUUUAAGAGGCGAAAACGAUUUUAGAAAGAUACACAAUUUUUUUAAAAAAAAUAUAAUAUAAAACUUAAAUGUUACGGUUAGAGAAUUUUAUUUUUUGCAUAAGCAUUCCAAUUUCUAAAUCGAUUAUAUUUUCUAAAAAAAUAUUUUUAGGUGUGUUCUCAUGUGAACCCCUCUCUCUCUCUCUCCAGUAUAUAUAUAUGUGUAGGGUUUUUAUAGUUUCUCUAUGUGGAAGUAAAAUUUGAAUUAUUAAUUAACAUUUGGUACAUUACUAUCUUCUUCAUUCUCUUUGUUUGAUUAAAGAAAUAUAAAACAAAAUAUUUAUCACCAAAUUUAGAGACAAAAUUAAACAAGAUAUUUAAGAAUUAAACAAUAGAUGGAAAGGGUUGAUUAUCAUUCAGAACAUUGUAUUUGAUUUUCUCUUUUGGAUUUUAUCCUUUUUUGUUCCUUUUCAUUUCCUAUGAUUCCUUUUCUUCUUCUUCUUUAUUGUUAAUGUAUUGGCUACAACUUAUUACUCAGAGAAGAAAUCUUCUAUGUUACCUACCGAUUCUAUGUCUCUUAACAUAAUAUAAAUAGACACUAAGACAUAUGACAAUCUCGAAGCGCAGUCA
This 710-nucleotide long non-coding RNA is filed under the name Brassica napus (rape). Its description in RNAcentral is "long non-coding RNA (BNAP_LNC011810)". Lineage: Eukaryota; Viridiplantae; Streptophyta; Magnoliopsida; Brassicales; Brassicaceae. The record is from RNAcentral.